The sequence is an RNase P RNA, 352 nucleotides long. It matches the Rfam family "Bacterial RNase P class A". Rfam says of the family: Ribonuclease P (RNase P) is a ubiquitous endoribonuclease, found in archaea, bacteria and eukarya as well as chloroplasts and mitochondria. Its best characterised activity is the generation of mature 5'-ends of tRNAs by cleaving the 5'-leader elements of precursor-tRNAs.
GAAGGCCGCCGGGCAGUCGCGCGCUCUCCGAGCGUGAGGAAAGUCCGGGCUUCAUCGGGCAACGUGCAGGAUAACGUCCUGUCGGGGCAACUCGAAGGAAAGUGCCACAGAAACAAACCGCCUCUUUGAGGUAAGGGUGAAAUCGAGGAUGUAAGAUCCCUCGGCGUCCCACGGAGACGUGGGCGCGGGUAAACCCCACGUGAAGCAAGAUCGCUCGAAUCGAUUCUUCGGAAUCCGGACGGCCCGUCCGCACGAGCUACAUCGCACCGAGGCCGCGAGUGACCGCGGUCCCAGAUAGAUGGCUGCCGCCGCGCGAGCGGUACAGAAUCCGGCUUAUAGGCGACCUUCGCAU